Long non-coding RNA from Corythoichthys intestinalis (scribbled pipefish), 1564 nucleotides. RefSeq lists it as uncharacterized. The record is from RefSeq and is a predicted model, not a curated record. Lineage: Eukaryota; Metazoa; Chordata; Actinopteri; Syngnathiformes; Syngnathidae. The transcript is spliced from 3 exons.
AGUGCUUGUGACACGAAAAAGCAUGUUUAUUUCAUAAUACACGCGGUAUUUUAUGCUCCUGAAUGAUAUGGACCGCUUGGAUGUGUGUGGAAGCGAUCGCUAUAUUUAUUUAGUUUUUUGAAUCCCGCGCCAGGAAAAUGAGUGACUUCCGGCUUCGGUCUCGCAUUGAGGAGGAGGGCGCUGUGACGUGUACGGUAGAAGACGUCCUCUUCACGCUACAGUGUACUGUUGUGUAUGAGGACGAAGGAUUCAGCUGAUUUUGCGGAUUAAUACUUUUAUUUUUUGCAUCACGCCAGCCAAACGGCUGCAGAAAAAUCAUUCUGUAUGCGGGAGAGGCGUAUGCGCCUUUUUGGAGUUUCAAAAGGUUCCCAUUCACCGUGGAUAUUUACUGUGGGACCAUUGGACUUACAAGGAAUAAAAUUGUAGAAAGGCUCAUCAAACAGAGGAGGCAGAGCCGUAGGAGGAGGGCGACGGAUCCACUCAAUGUGGAGGCGAGCCGUGGAGGACUUCUGAGGACGACCAUUGUCGGUUGCCUUAAUCUAAGGAGAGAAGUCAUCAUGCUGAAUGGUAAAGUAAGUAGGUGACAGUCUCGCAGUAGUUUUAUUGACACUAAAUUUGAAUAAAUUGGUUAUUUUCACAGUUGACCUUGAAUAGUAAGACAAAAAUACGACUGGACCAGUGCCUUUAAUUGAUAAAACAGUGUGGACAACCUCAUUCCCAGGAAAAGAGACGAGGACCCACAGUGGCCCUUGAGGACUGGUUUGGACACCCCUGCUUUAAGUGUUGAACCUGUAUACUUUUGCCUCAAUAGCUUGCUAGAAUGUUUUAUAUUUUCAAUAUAACCCCCCAAUGCAUAUUGUAAAUCCAUUUGCCUCAAUUUGGAGGAUGUUGCACUGGUAUUGCUCCAAAAUAAAUAACUUAAAACCGUCCGAUAUACGCCCGUCUGUACUGGCUUGUGCUUUUGGAGUCACAGAGCUUGUCAUUUUAGCAACUGUAACUAGGUGAAGCGCUUUUGUGAAAGGUCAUUCUGAUAUUUAUUAUUGAAUCGAGUCAUUAUUAAAGACCCUAUCAAGAGAAAGAUCACUUGCACAUACUGUUAGGAUAUCGUAGCUCCCAGCUGGAAAGGCCUUGCGAGAUGACACCAUUGCCGUCUUGGGAUCAAUGAAGAACUUCCCGUCCUCAUUGCCAUCAACGAUGCUAUAAGAAAGGUCACUGUUGGGUCCAUCGUCACGAUCAUAGGCAAAGACCCGAUAGAUAGGCUCUCCUUUCUUUCUCCGCUCCCUUUCCGGUAGUUUGACCUGAUAGACCUUCUCUGGAAAUGUCGGCUUGUUGUCAUUUUCAUCUAGGACCUGGACCAUCACCCACACCGUACUCUGCCUCGGACUGGGUCCACCAUCUGACACCAAAACCUUAAAAAGGAGAAGAUAAUUAUGAAUGUCUUUGAAUUAAUGCACGAGGUUAAACUGUUUACGAGUUUCAGAAAUCCAUUAUUCAACAUAUUGUUACGUUUUCUAAGAAAAAGUUGUACAACCCCUUGCAAAAAGUAUGGAAUCACCAGUCUCGG